UGAUCUUAGCCAAAAGGCCGAGA
Molecule: non-coding RNA, 23 nt
Filed under: Arabidopsis thaliana (thale cress)
Lineage: Eukaryota; Viridiplantae; Streptophyta; Magnoliopsida; Brassicales; Brassicaceae
Also listed under: 1 other name
Source: RNAcentral